This 748-nucleotide long non-coding RNA is filed under the name Felis catus (domestic cat). Its description in RNAcentral is "lncRNA (ENSFCAG00000050054.1)". Lineage: Eukaryota; Metazoa; Chordata; Mammalia; Carnivora; Felidae. The record is from RNAcentral.
CUCCCCCGCCCUCCCUCCACCCUCUUCUCUCCUCUGAAUCGGGGAGGCUGGGAGGCCAAGGUUACCACCAGCACCUUUUCUUAGGAACUGGGAAGCCCGAGUGCAAGAUGAUCGCCAGGCGUUAGAACCGACACAAAGACGCUUCGGGAUCUCCUGGAACCCCGCUCGGGGCACACUGGAUUCACGCCACUGUCCGUCCAGGCUGCCUGCACAAGCCUCCGGGCCUCCGGGACUGUCCUGUGCCCAUCUCGAAGCCCCGCCCCCCACCCCCGGCGUUCCCGGAGCUUCGAUCGCUCUCCAGACCUUCUGGCGGCCACCUAGAGCCUGCGGGCCUUCACGGGGGGACAGAGCCCUGGGCCUCCCUCCCUGCCAGCCUCUGCCUGCGGGAAAAUCGGCGGGCCUGCCUCCCUCACCUGAGCUCGGGUGUAACGGAGGCCUGGCGCUGUGCUCCCAGUCUGUUUCCAAAACUCUUUGCCUAAAACUACAACCUGCUGUGUCUUCUGCCUUUAAGACACUACAGACGCCAGCGUUGAACGGUCGCCGGCUGCGGAUGCAGGCCGCCUCGGGCCUGGAAUCACAGCUCCCUGCUCCCUGCUGCCCGGCCCAGGCUUGGGUGCGGUGGCCCCGAGUUCUCCAGGUCAGCGUCACCAACCACGCCGUGCUGACAGCACUCUCCGAAUCUAACCGGUUGAAACCACACACACAUCUCUCUUGCCCGGCUUGCGCGUCGGCCCUAGGUUGGUUGUAG